Molecule: ribosomal RNA, 135 nt
Filed under: uncultured bacterium
Lineage: Bacteria
Description: partial 16S ribosomal RNA
Rfam family: Bacterial small subunit ribosomal RNA
Source: RNAcentral
UGGGGGAUAUUGCACAAUGGGGGAAACCCUGAUGCAGCGACGCCGCGUGGGUGAAGAAGCGCCUCGGCGCGUAAAGCCCUGUCAGCAGGGAAGAAAAUGACGGUACCUGAAGAAGAAGCCCCGGCUAACUACGUG